RNAcentral lists this ribosomal RNA (208 nucleotides) under uncultured bacterium. RNAcentral's name for it is "partial 16S ribosomal RNA". It matches the Rfam family "Bacterial small subunit ribosomal RNA", at positions 568 to 775 of the family's 1533-position model. The record is from RNAcentral.
CAUGUAGGUGGUUUCGUUAGUUUGGCGUGAAAGCCCAGGACUUAAUCCUGGAAGUGCGUCGAAUACUGCGAGACUAGAGUACAGGAGGGGAGAACGGAAUUCCUGGUGUAGAGGUGAAAUUCGUAGAUAUCAGGAGGAACAACAGUGGCGAAGGCGGUUCUCUGGACUGUAACUGACGCUGAGAUGCGAAAGUGUGGGGAGCAAACAG